GUGAGAUAAUAAAUGUCAUCAUUUAAGCUGGUAAGUUUUGGGGUAAUUGGCUACUCAGCAGUUGAUGACGACUAAUAAAGGGGACAAUCAGCAGAUCAGGACACUGAAAAUUCCUACCUGUCCAAAUCCUCCCAACGUCACAGGGACCUAACAGACCUGUGGAUAGAUAAACACCAGCCAGAACAGCCAACAGGCUUCCCAGGUGGUGCUAGUGGGGAAGAACCCGCCUGCCAGUCCAGGAGACCUAAGAGACUGUGGUCCAGUCCCUGGGUGGAGAAGGUCCCCCAGAGAAGGAAAUGGCAACCCACUCCAGUAUUCUUGCCUGGAGAAUUCCAUGGACAGAGGAGCCUGGAGGGCUACAGUCCACGGGGUCGCACAGAGUCAGACACGACUGAGCGCACACACUGAGCAGUAGAUCCGACAGCUGGGAAUUUCGAAAGGAAAUCUGCGAGUCCACAAGCACAGGCUCGGUGAUUGGGGUGCACAGGCUUAGUUGCUCCUAGGUCUGUGGGGACCUUCCUGGAGCAGGAAUUGAACCCAUGUCCCCCACACUGGCAGCAAGAUUCUCAUCUACUGUACUACCAGGGAUGUCCAGGAUGGGAUAUCGCUGGGCGAGGGCAUGAGCCCGCCCACAACAAGUAAGUCUGCAACGUCCCCGCAAACAGCGACCCUCCUGACGCCCAGCCCAGAAGUGCACACUGUUUUGAAGGAAAGAGAGUAAAACACACACUGAUUCCUGCUCUUCAUGGGUGUACACUUGAGCUCGGGAAGUCUCAGGUUAAGGCAAAGACCACCAGACAGACGGGUGGAUAAAGAAGGUGUGUUACGUAUGUACAACGGAAUACUACUCAGCCAUAACAAAGAACAAAAUAACGCCAUUUUCAGCAAUAUGGAUGGACCUAGAGAUGAUCAUAAUUGAAGUGGAUUCCUAACCACUGGGCCACCAGGGAAGUCCUUACCAAGAAUUUUGAAACCAUUCAAAAAUCAGAGCACCGGAGGCAACACUUUUCUAUGGUAUCUAAGCAGCUUAAGAUACCUGUAUCGGCUUAUAGUCACAGGAAUUCUGUACAAAGGAAUGCAUACCUUCUUAGUGUUUCAUAGUACAUUCCGAUCGAG
This is a long non-coding RNA of Bos taurus (domestic cattle), 1116 nucleotides long. The record is from Ensembl. Lineage: Eukaryota; Metazoa; Chordata; Mammalia; Artiodactyla; Bovidae.